Molecule: long non-coding RNA, 4737 nt
Filed under: Sus scrofa (pig)
Lineage: Eukaryota; Metazoa; Chordata; Mammalia; Artiodactyla; Suidae
Description: lncRNA (ENSSSCG00055026043.1)
Source: RNAcentral
GGGGAAUAAUUUAAUGAGAUAUUUUAAUGAACAGUGUUGGUCAUCUUCAAGUAAAACUAUAUAGCAGUAAAAUACCAGCAGUGAUAGCCACAUGGUCUAUUUUCAUAAAAUAGUGAAAUAAUAGGUCUAAAAUUAGUGAAUUAUAUACAGAAUAGAAAUCCCUAGAAUACAGUAUUAAGUGGAAAAUUUUUCUUUGCAUUUCUCUAUUCUAAUAAAAUACAGAAAUAUUCUUCUUAAACAUGCAUUUUUCUACCUAAUGGUAUCUAUUUAGUUAAUAAAAUUUAUUUAAGUAGAAACAUCAAAUAAAGAUAUGACCAAUACACUUGUGGAAUACAGUUAAUUAAGAUCCUCUUCACAUUAAAUUGUAGGGACCAUCCUUGUUUCUCAGAUGACUGGCACAGUGCCUGACAUACAUAAGAUGCUCAAUAAAUGUUUAAUGAAUAACUAAGUACAAUCUGUUUUGCACAUACAUUCGAAAUACAGACAAGUUUGCAAAGGUACAUAAGUUGGACAUAGGCUUUCUGGCUGACUUCCUGGGGUCCCACUGAUGACUAGGAGUAAAUCUUCAUAUCCAUAGAAAACUGGAAAGUUGAUAAUUGUCUGGGUAAGGACCAAAAAAACAAAGUCAGGGAAACAUGUCACCUAAGUAACGGUUGCUUUAUAGAGCUGGUAAAAGCAGCCUAAUUAUUCCAAUAACCUAUUGUACCAGUUACUCAAUGAAAUGAAAUCUAAGUGUAUUCUGAAUGUUUGCUAGAAUCUUUUUAACAGGAAUUUUUUUGAUUAACCUUUAUUUAAAAUAAAUCAUUUUCAUCAAGUUGUAGCCCAUACAGAAUAUGUUUUUACUUAUUAUGAAUACUAUUGGUUAACAGGAUUUAAUUUGGCUAUUCGAAAAAGGGAGAACCACAGUGAAGUUAGAAAAAAUCUUCAUAGUAGUGAAUAAAUUGUAGCAGGAAGGAAAGGAAAAAGGAUGAAAAAGAAGGAAUUCCAUAUCUGAGAGUGAAGAAAUUCAAAUAUUCCUAACUCUAAUAUCAAUUAUGACAAACAACCAGUAGGGCCUACAGUGAACUAGACAUUGUGCUAUGAGGGAACAAGAAAAAAUCUUUAGUCCUACUUAAGCAGUUCACCGAAGAAGAAUCACAAGUAAACAUUUAUAUUACAAUAUGCAUUCUUCAUAUACAUAUAUAUAUAUAAAGAGAGACAGGGAAGGGGAGAGAAGGAAUGAGAGAGAAUGAAAGAGAUAGAGCUUCUUAAUACAAAAGUAAGAGAUGUACUUACUCUUACUUGAUUAAUAAGAAGUACAAAGGAAAAAUAAGCAUUAGGGAAAGCUGAAAUAUCUCAAAAUAAUAAUAAUCCAUAUGAGAGAAAUCAGUACCUCUUAAAAACUCAACAGAUUAUUGAAUUAUAUGGACAAAACUGAGGCUUUACAGACAUCUCAUAUUCUUAGAAUGUCUUCAUUUAACCUUUAAGUGCCAUACACAGACUGUGCACAACAGUUUCAUUUCUGACAAAAAAUAAUGAGGUAGUAUGGCAAAGUGAGUAUCAAGAAUCAGAGUUCUCUUGUCUAUGUGCUGUCCGCUUACAGGCCUUGGAACUCUGGGCAAGUUCCUUGAACUCUCUGAACUUUAGCAAUAUGGAAAAUAAAGAGUUGGAUAAAGUGACAUCCAAGAUAUCACCCAGUUGAAAAUUACAAUUCUAAAAUACAUCUUAAUACUUAAAAAUAAGCCAUAAUAAAAAUACAUAGUUUUCUAAGGGUAGAUCUUCAUCCAACUUAGAGGAGGUGUGGAAUCUUCAAACCAUAUAGCCUUACCCUGGGUUGGGGUAUGGAAUGUUUUCAAAGGAAAACAGAAACAAAGUUAAGAUAUUAUAAUCAAGCUGUUGAUUUUCACUCAGCUGCCAACUGGGACAGCACCACCCCAAUUACCUACAAAAUUCACUCUACUUAAAAAUGAUUUCUUGGAAUUCCCGUCGUGGCUCAGUGGUUUAAAGAAUCUGACUAGGAACCAUGAGGUUGUGGGUUUGAUCCCUGCCCUCGCUCAGUGGGUUAAGGAUCCAGUGUUGCCAUGAGCUGUGGUGUAGGUCGCAGAUGCGGCUUGGAUCUGGCAUUGCUGUGGCUCUGGCAGAGGCCAGGAGCAAUUAGACCCCUAGCCUGGGAACCUCCAUAUGCCUCGGGUGCAGCCCUAGAAAAAGACCAAAAAAAAAAAAAAAGAUUUCUUCACUAAGUUUUACUUUCCAUCUCUUAGGUUAAGGUUGCUGAAGUAUUAAGAUGAGGACAAGAAAUCCUAGGUGGAUCUGGAACAGUAGUAUUGCUGGAAGACAAACUUGAACUUGGCACAGAUUUCUGCUUAAGUGUACCAAUUAAAUCUCAGAAAAAGGUACAAAACUGUUCAAAAUUUAUAAUAGAAAGGAGGGAACUAGGACCAUGAUGUUCACUGCUACACAGCUUUUUUUUUCCUGUGUGUAAAUGUCUACUUUCGCACUCAAUCAGUAAUUAAGAUUUUACAGAACAAGUUUCUGCAUAUGCAAUGCUUUUCCUGUCACUAAAAUAUAGGCAUAUUACGUUUUGGUUGUACCGUUAAGAAAACAAAAAAUUAAAAGUAUUAUUAUGUCUAAUAUUUAUGUCAAAUAUCCUUCGAGAUUAUUUUUCUUCAAUCCUUUCUAGUUGAUCAAAUUGCUGUUUUCAUAUUGCCAGUCUGAUCACAAAAUUGCUGCUUUACAGGAGAAUAUUUUUUGCUGACAUAAAUUAUGGGAUCAGAGAUACCAAUGCAGUUACAAAAAAGGGUGUGUGUGAGAGAGAAAGUGAGUGAGUGUGUGUGUGUGUAUGAAUGUGUGCAUCCAUCUUUAAGGAAAGGAUAAAGAAAUGUACAUAUGAAACAAAAUACCACUUUCCAAUGUAAGCCCUGGUAAAAGGCCUACAUCAGAAACAUACUUUCUAACAUUUGUGAAAUCAAAUACUGUACUAGAUUUGAAAAUCUUUCACUAAGAACAUGCCAAGUGAAAAUGGAGAAUAGAUAUUUUUAUCAAGAUUAUUACUCUAUAAACCUAAAUUUGGAUUUAUCUUUCAAUUAACAUCUACAAUGCAUAUACUAACUACAACAUCAUGAUUUCUUCGACUCAGAAAACCAUAUUUUAGAAAUUUUUCUCCUUUCACAUAUAGUGAGCAAUUUGGUUCAGUACCCCCAAGAGAUAAAAAACUCAUCUCAAUUUACAACAGUAAAUAAAUAAUUCAGUUAAAACUGAAAGUGGUACCAAUCCAGCAAACUAUUGAUGGAGAGGUUUGGCCUUCCAUGAAGCCAGAACAACAUAAAAGUUUUCAAUGGGGAUUACUUGUUCAGACAAGUUGCAAAGAUUAGGAAAAUACCCAUAUUAUGAAAUAGCGAAUAUUCUCAUCUUAUGUAAAAUAAAUAUCAGGAACGUAGCUACAGAGAGACAAUACCAGCGGCAUUUAAACUUUAAGUAUUUUGAGCUAUGAACUUCAUAUGCUAAUAUAUGAACAAACAUUUAACAAAAAAAAGCAAUAAUACAAGCCAAAACCUAACCAAAGGCCUCUAUCACCAAAAAUUUGAAAUUUUCUAUGCAAGUCAGACAAAACGAAUAAAGGAAAAUUAAACCCAGAAAGCAAAAACCAAUCAAGUCUGUUCCAACACUGAAGUCAACAUCCAAAUCACAUACAGAACCAAAAAGGGGAAAACACUCAGGUCUACAAAUGGAUAAGCAGUUCCGAUACAAUCCAGAUCCCGACAUUUUCCCACACAGAAACAAAUGCAGCAGAGCUUUUCCUAGGAAAAAAGGAAAAAAGCUCUCCAAAUGAUUUUUUAAAGUGACAUCUAGAAAGUGUGCCUCUUUCUGUCUCUUUCCCUGGCGCCUCAUUGGAGGAAGGAGGGGGUUGUUUUUGUAUUCUCCCCCACUGGAGCAAGACACAAUCAGAUGUUAGCUGGAGGAGAGAAACCACUUUUGACAACAGCAAAUAAAAAUAAAAAGUGCCCUUCCUCCUCUGACAGGAUGGGCACCCACCUCACACACCCCUCCCCACUCCUACUCCUCCUUCACCACCCCCCCAGCACCACCCCCUCCUCACCCGGGAGCUCCACUGCGUAUGAAGGCAAUGAAGCCCCCACAGACACACUUACCUUUCCUGCCCCCCACUUUUGAGUGCCUUCCCUGGAGCUGUGGAGGAUGACACAAAGGGUAAUAAAGAGGGGGGGAGUGGAGGAGGAGGAGGAGGCGAAGGAGGAGGAGAGCUGGGGAAGUGGCUGCUCCUGGGUGUAGUGAGAUGUCUCCAGCCAGGGCCAAGCAGCAGUAGCAGCAGCAGUAGCAGCAGCAGCAGCAGCAGCAACAGCAGCAGCAACAGCAACAGCAGCAGCAGCAGCAGCAGAGAAGGGUCUGUGUUGCUAAGAGGCUUUUGGUCUCUUUCUCUCCUCUCACGGCCAAAGAGGAGGAGGAUGGAGAGGGCUCGGGAGGGAGGCUAGUGGAGGGGUGAGGGGGUAGGAGUCGUGGAUGGGGGGGUUUGGAAGAAGAAGAAACUCCUUCUCCUUCUUUCUCAGGCUCAAUCCCCCUCUCAGGUCUCAGGGCUGGAGGGUGGGGGAAGGAACUCAGCCGCCUUCCCCCCACCCCCCUCAAUUCAAGGUUGAAGUGGGGUAAAAUUAGUGUCCUGUCCCUUUAAAAAUAGAAAUAAAAGGUGCCCCCCCUCUGCCACUGCCUCUCUCUUCAUCAUCAGCUGCUGCUGCUGCUGGGGUCUCU